UACGUAGGUGACAAGCGUUGUCCGGAUUUACUGGGCGUAAAGAGCGCGCAGGCGGUCGUUCAAGUCGGGUGUGAAAGCCCCCGGCUCAACUGGGGAGGGUCACUCGAUACUGAUCGACUCGAAGGCAGGAGAGGGAAGUGGAAUUCCCGGUGUAGUGGUGAAAUGCGUAGAUAUCGGGAGGAACACCAGUGGCGAAGGCGACUUCCUGGCCUGUUCUUGACGCUGAGGCGCGAAAGCUAGGGGAGCAAACAGG
Molecule: ribosomal RNA, 253 nt
Filed under: uncultured bacterium
Lineage: Bacteria
Description: partial 16S ribosomal RNA
Rfam family: Bacterial small subunit ribosomal RNA
Source: RNAcentral